Molecule: ribosomal RNA, 184 nt
Filed under: uncultured bacterium
Lineage: Bacteria
Description: partial 16S ribosomal RNA
Rfam family: Bacterial small subunit ribosomal RNA
Source: RNAcentral
CCGUGAAGCUGGAUUCGCUAGUAAUCGCGCAUCAGCCAUGGCGCGGUGAAUACGUUCCCGGGCCCUUGUACACACCGCCCGUCACACCAUGAGAGUUGGGAAUACCCGAAGCCUGUGAGCUAACUUUUAGAGGCAGCAGUCGAAGGUAGAAUCAAUGAUUGGGGUGAAGUCGUAACAAGGUAGC